RNAcentral lists this long non-coding RNA (13675 nucleotides) under Ananas comosus (pineapple). Its description in RNAcentral is "long non-coding RNA (ACOM_LNC002891)". Lineage: Eukaryota; Viridiplantae; Streptophyta; Magnoliopsida; Poales; Bromeliaceae. The record is from RNAcentral.
AUUUUUUAAUUAAAACAUAAAUUUAAGUUUAAAAAUUAUAUUUAUAAAUUUACAUUUUAAUUUGAACUUAAAUUAAAAAUUAAAAUUCAAUCAAACAUUUUGAAUCUAAUUUAAAAUUUUGAAUUUAAAUUUAAAUUUAAUUUAAAAUGUAAAAUUUUAGUUAUUUAAAUUUUAUUUAAAUUUUAAAUUAAAUUUAUGGAUUCAAAUCAAAAUUGAAAUUAUAAUUUUAAAUUUGAACUUGAAUAAAUCGAAAUUUAGUUUCAUAUUUUGAAUCAUCCGUUCAAUUUCAAUUUUUAAUUUUUUUAAAAUAUAUUUAAAAUUUUGACAUCAUUUUAAAAUUUUGACGCAAAUUUUUAAUAUUUAAUUUUCAGUUUGAAUGUAAACUAAUAUACUGUAAAGAUAAAUUUGGCAUAUUAAUUUGAUUACGUUUCUAAUAUCUAUCUGAACCAAAUACCGACAAUAAGAAUGAUUCAUUCCGAUUCCGAUUUAAAUAGCGAAGCAAAUAGAAUGAGGUAAUGAAUCAUUCCGAUUCUAUUUCCAUCUUAUUCUCGUUCCGAUUUCGAUAUCGAUUUCAAGUUCGAACCAAACACACCCUAUAUUUCAUCUUAUCAAAAUUUCAAGUUGAUGGAUUUAAACGCCCUUCAAUCAUCAGAGUUCCGUCACUACUAUUCCGUCCAUUUCUUAUAAUUUAUAUUGAAUAUACCCUUAAAUUGUUAGAAAUGCAAUAAAAAAAAUUUAUUGUUUCCUUAACAAGUAAAGAAAAUUUAGUCAUCUUAGAAAGUAAAAAAAUAUGGAUAUUCAUAAGGGAAGGUUUUUUUUUUUUUAUUUUAGCCAAUAAAGAAAGUUUUAAGGGUACAAAGCAUUCUCCAAAUAAAUAAAUAAAUAAAGUUUUAAAAGGGUACAAAGCAUUCUCCAAAUACAUAAAUAAAUAAAGUUUUAAAAGGGUACAAAGCAUUCUCCAAAUACAUAAUACGAGUAGCUGAAGACAUGCACCAACUAAUUUGAUGCAUCCACUUUUACACACACAUACAUUGAGAAUAAAAUAAAAUAAAAUACACAUGCUAUAAGAUAACACCUGCAUAUAUCGAUCAACAUUUUCAAUUUUCAUCGAGCACGGACGGAUUGUUUAGAAGAUCCGAGGCGGAAAAUAUGGAAGCAUCAAGCUCGGUCGGUGCCUUGCAAAAAGCGCACAAACUCACCUACAUGAUGUGGAAUAAAUUUAAUCGUUUCUGUGACACUCCCUUCGUCUCGUUUGAAUGAAAUAGUAAAAUUCGGGAUGUGGCGAACCCUCGUGCGCAAGUCAUUGCUGUGGUCGCCUUCUCCUCCUCCUCCUCCUCCUAGAAGCAGCUCAACAAGUUCCUCUGCUAGAUGGCCAAUGUAUAAAUCCUGAAGGGUGGUAAGGUACUCGAUGCCGUGGGGCAGCUCCUUUAGCUCGAGGCAACCGUCUAGCUGAAGCUUAUACAGGCUUGCCAUUGCUCCUCUUUCGAUUUCCACCUGACUGAGCUCCGGGGCACCUACUAUUCCCAAUUUCUUUAGCUUCGGGAAUGAUGUUGCUUGGAAGUGCAACUUCAUGCCGUCAUAUGCCUCAUAAAGGUAGAGAACUAUCAACGCGGGCAGCGCUUGCAGGUGAGGAAACGUAUCUUCAUCCAAUUUUGCACCUAAAAGGAAUAAUGAGGUAAGGUUUGUUAGAGACCCAAAGGAUGUGGCAAGCUCAGGGAGUGAGUUUUUUUCUAAUUCACCAUACAGAUGUAAUGCUUGAAUUGGUGGAGGUAGGCGCAGGGUGCCCAACUGCUGUAAUUCUUGCCCACGUUCACUGCUGACAAAUAAAUUGCUAAGAUGGCUCAUCUUUGUGAUACUAUUCCACAAGUCUGCACAGUGAUGGGUUCUUACGCCCGUUAUUGAAAAUGUCCGCAACUCUGUCAAAGCUUCUACAUUCCGCACAAUCUCCUCAGUUGCUUCAAUAGGUGUUAAAGUCUGCAAGCCCUUCAAGCGCCAUAUUCCCACCGGUGCCUUGAUGUUCUUACCCCAGUCGUCGGACAAAUGUAGAUGUCUCAACUUUUGGAGCUCUGUUAUUUCCUCCGGCAGCUUUUCUAUUCCAGUGUGAUCUGCAUCUAAUACUUGCAGAUUUCGUAGCUUCCCGAUUGAUCUUGGAAGCUCGUAUAUUCUUGUUCGCUGCAAGCCUAGAUAAUGCAGGUUGAAUAGGUUACAAAUCUCACUCGGUAGUUUCUCGAUUCGCGCUCCUUGUAGUUCCAAGACACGUAAAAAUUUUGAUGAUCUUAAGACCGACUCCAGUAAAUCAUUGCUCAUGGAAUUGUUGAAAACAAGCACUGAACGCAAAUGAGAUUUGUCUUCAGUACGAUAAUUAGUUAUAUUGCUUAGGAUUGACAAGCGGCGCACUUUGGAUCUCUGCAAUAUUGUCCGUGAAUUCUCGUAAACCAUGCAGAAACUUAACUCCUUUGACUCCGAAAGAGCAAGGACUCGAAUGAUGUCAUGCAUUCGACAUUCUUGAACUCUACCGAUAUCGUUCCUCUCAACCACUUGUAGUAGACAGCGGUGAACUAGUUCGUGAAGGUAGUCCUCGGCCACUUCCUCCAUCGUUAUUCCUCUUUCUUCAAUGAACCCUUCGGCCACCCAAAGCCUUAUGAGCCUGUAACUUUCAAUUGUAUAGUCUUCCGGAAAGCUGGAACAAUAUAAGAAGCAAUUUCGAAGGUAAUAGGGAAGAUCGUCAAAACUAAGUUUCAAAAUGUUAUGUACUUUUUCAUGGAGCUUCGAUUCGUUGUUAGUUAGAUACCACUCAAGAUCUUUGUAAACCUUCUCCCAUUCGGAACCUGUUUCAUCUCGAAAUGAUAAGAGACGGGCUAUAGAUACGAUAGCAAGGGGCAAGCCACCGCACUUCUCGACAACUUUUUUAGCACAUUGUUCUAAGGGCGGUGGGCAAAUCUUGUUUGCACUUUUCCAAAAUGCAUUUUUACAAAACAAAUCCCAUGAAUGACCUGCCUCUAGCGUCUUUAGCUCAAACAUACGGUUCUCGUUUGCUAAUAGUGCUACAUCGCGAAUCCUUGUUGUGAGAACUAUUCUACUCUUGCUAUUACUAUUCAGAAGUGCAUUCUUUAUAUUGUCCAGUACAUCAGUACUCCAAACAUCAUCCAGAAUAAGUACAUACUUUUUACACUGCAAAUAAGUGCGGAUAGUCUCAACCAAGCUUCUAUAAUCCAUGGUAUUAAUGUUGUUAGGUGCUUCUCCUUUCUCACGAUCUUUCCUAUAGAACUCUUUUAAGAUCUGUCUAAGCAAAUCAUCCGUCUCAUAACUUUGAGAUACAGCAACCCAGGCACAAGCAUCAAAAGAAGCUUCGAUGAUAUUGUACACAUGAGUCACGAGAGUGGUCUUCCCUAGACCACCCAUCCCCAAUACUGAGAUUAUCAUGGGCUGUCGUUGCUGCUCAUCCUCAUCUUUCAACCAUCUGAGCAACAAGUCCCUGUACUUGUCAAUACCCACGAUAUCAUCCUCCUCGACAAAAUGUGCUAAUUCUGCGGGGCUCUUGCUACCGCCAGCAGCUAUUAGAGGUCUUGCUUCAUUUUCCAUUCUGCUUGUAUCAUAUCGCUCCCUUCUUUCCUUAAUGUUUCGAAGCUUAACUUUGAUUUUGUUAAGCCUCUUGCUAAGGCGACGCCAAGUUGCUAUAUUUCUGCACAUCUUGACUGUUGUAGGCUGGACCCCUCCUUGCUCUUCACCGAGCUUGUAUGUGAACUCAUCUAUAAUAUCCUCAAUGUCGAAAGCCAAAUCUCUUGUUUGUUUUAUGAUGGUUGUUGUGCUCUCAUCCUUCUGUUUUAAUCUUUCAGCGAUCCGUAGGAAGGAUAGCAUGCUCUGAAGCUCACCCUUAAUGUCACUUAUAUCCUCCACAAGGUCUUCCAUUGCUGAUAUCCGUGUUAGUAAUCGUGAUGUUGCUGCUUUAGUUGCUUCACUAGCUAAGGUCGCACCGAUAUUUAGGAGUAAUGAGCUUACCACAGCCUCCGCCAUGGGCACUUCCUCUGAAUUGAGCCUAAAAUGUACAAUCUUUUCAAAUUACCAUGUCUCUUCAAAUGCACCACUAGCAAAAAUGAUUAUUUUUUAACGCUCUUAUGAUUCAAGGCAAUUUUUGUAAAAAAAUAUGUAAUUAAUUGUCUCAAUCGGAAUAACUCUGUAGUGCACUAAACAAACAUUUGUUAGAAUCCUCAGUUAAAAAAAAAGAAACACCAUUAACAGUAUUGUAGUCUGGAAGAACAAAAAGCAAUAACUUGUUCAAGAUUCAGUUUAACAAAAUUUUGAGAUUAAAGAUUCAUCAUAACUAGUCAUAUUGAACUCGACCUCAAUGUAUAUUUGUAGAUCAAGUUGUGAAAAAGUCCUUUAGAGGAGUAUGAAAUCAAUAAAGAGUUGGAAAGUAAAUCAAUCUGCUGCUAGCUAGUGAGUAGAUGGUAUCACAUUAAGCGUGAUUGUAAAUUAUUUUACAAUUAACAAUUAUAAAUCAAGUUUGUUUUGAAGCCCUCUUCUUGUUCAUAAUUAAGUUAAUAUUUAUCAGGACGAUAAGUCAUUUGAGCAAGAAACUAUUAGUGCUUUUUCAAAUAGUUUUGUUUUGAUAGAAAUAUAAGAACUUAAAUUUUAGACUCAUGAAACUCCCGUAUAUCUAAUAUGUUAAAUUUUAUUGCCUCGACAUUCAUAGUUUCAUACCGCCUAUUAUCAGACCAGAAUCUGAAAGUUCUAUUUCAACUUUUGUGAUUUGUGUUGCAAUUUGUAAAAGUUCUACAUUACUAGUUUUGAUAUUAACUGAGUUUUUUUUUUCCCAAAAUAAUUGUUAUCUUUGUGAGUUCAGCAGGAAUAUUUCUUAAGUGAAAUGACUUUGAUAUUUUUUUUUUUAUUUUUUUUUAUGAUGAGGCAUUUAAAUAAACGUCUUGUAUCGUUAAAUAUAAUCUAGAAUGUUUGCAUGGUUUAGAAACUGAAUUUUUUUUUUUUUGUCAUUAUCAUUUACCUAGUGAUCAAAUGGUCUUAAAAUUGAUAAUUUAACAAGUAAAACAAGACACUUUCUUCUUGUUUAACUGCAAAGAAAUAAAACCCUCUCAACUAUUUAGAUCAAGAGUUGUAACCAAGAUUGUGAAUUUAAGAUUUUUUUUUAAUUAUAUUUUUAGAAUGUCGCUAGUUUUGAACUUUCAAAUUAUGCCCACUUGGCAAGCCAGAAAAUAAAUUUUGAAAAUCAUAAAACUCUUUUUCUAGAAAGUUUAUGUAUCCUUUAGUAUAUUUAGCAUCUUGCAUGGUAUUGAUCAUCGAUUUAGACGCUCAAUCAUUAACAAUAAAGUGAAAGUAUAUAAUAAGGCCAAAUUAUUCUACCUUAAUUAUUAAUUAUCUCUUGUUAUUUUGUUACCAAAGAUCAAGUGAAUCGAAACAACAUAUAUAUAUAUUUGUAAGGACUGAGAUUUUGACAGUGUAACUAAACUCUCUGUUGACGAUGUUUAUAUGUGUAAUUUAAUUACAUAAGCACUCGUCAAGUUUCAGGAGAAAAUGAGCUAAAAUGGAGAAGAUACGCAAUUUUUAGUUUUCACUUAAGUGAAUAGUAACUCUGGUUUUCCGGAGAAGCCGCGGCGUAGAGUUGGCUUCUGGCACGUAUUGGACUUCGAACAUAGCAGUCCAAUAGCCCGUUUCGACCAGUUCAGCUAUUCUGGAACUAAUGGCGCUGACGAAUUUUGAGUUUGACGCACGGAUUUCGAGAAAAUCCAAAAAUACAUGUUUUAUAUGUAUUUGUGCGUAGUUCUUCUAUUGGAGAGUUGGAACGGUUCUCGCCGCGAAUCCGCGACCGAUCGAGAUGAACCAAAAUGGUAGCUAUGUUGUCUCCGUGGUGCUGAUCGCACUGGUGCAAUCCGUUCGCAAAUCUGACGGACGGACAAGCGGAGAUCGCACGUUGAUCGAGGAGAGGUUGGCGAUGGCAAAACGGUAAUUUCGCAAAAGUCGCGACAUUUUAUGUACCGUUUUACGCGAGAUCGCACGUGGAGGGGUAUUCGUGCAUUUUAUUCAAGCUGUGAGGGACUCGGAGCGAAAUAUCGAGUUUGGAGGGACUUUUGCACGAUUUAUCGCCUUACGUAUUUAAAGGCUUCUAGGGUUUUCCAUGAAACCCUAACCCUAAACCUAGCUCCAGCGAACCUAGCCGCCCUACCCCCCUUCUCCUCAUACGCCGCGCCCCUCCCGGCCGCCGCCGACCCAACCCCGGCCAGCAGCCAUCGCCACAGCCACCAUCUCCCACCUUCUUCUCUCUCCAUCUCCCUCAAUCCUCCUCUUUCUCUCGGGUUAGAUGCGGGCCGAGGCUACAUUGCCUCCAAGCACCUUGCCGAUGUCGCCCCCUGCCCCGGCGAGCCUCCCCGGCCGACCGCCGCCGCCCCUUGGGGCAGCGCCGCCGCCGCCGGGGCCAAUCCUGCAGCCGCCCCAGGUCUGCUCGGGCCGAGCAGACCUGGUAGCUCCAACCCCACGCCGCAGCCGCCCUUGUCCACCCCUGCGGCCUCCAUCAUGGCCUACGGUACCCCCUCCCCCGGCCGAAAGGGUCGCUGCCGCUGCCACGUGCCUUGGGCGCUGCCGCCCAAGGCUGGAGACCGAGCCAAGCUCGGCGCGGUUGCGCCCGAGCUGCGGGCUACCGCCGCCGUCGCCCGCCGCCUCCUCCUCUCCGUCCGGCCUCUAGGGCCCCGUCGCCGUCGUCCCUGGGCACCCCCGACCGCCGCCGGCUACAGCUGCACCGCUGAAACCCAAGCUCAGCAGUACGGGCUCGGGAUGUUCCAGCUUCGCCGCCGCUGCCUUCCGUCGCCGGCUGGAGCGAGCGCCGGUCUUCCCUGGCCGGCCGUACCCGUUCAUCGCCGGCUACCCCGCCGCCGGAGCACCCUGUCAACCGAGAUGAGCCUGAGCUCUCCUCGGGUUGUGCGGCUAGGGCAUCAUCGUCCUCCGCCUCCGCCACCUCCCGUCGUCGUCCGGUGCAAGCCCUGGUCUCCCCACACUGGCUGCACCCUCCUCUGCCAGCGCGUCCGCCGUCCGGCCUCCCGCGCCCUACCUUGCUCCGAUAAGCUUAGUUAAGAGCUUUUCUUGAGUAGUUUACUGUUCCGAGCAAUCCGAGGCUUCUCGAUCUCUACGGAAGGGAGCACAAUGAUUGUGACUCAUCGCUGAUCAUCGUGCUUACCUUAUUUUCUAUCGGGGAGGCUCCGUUACGCUGUUUCGGCGGUGUAGACCCUAUAAGAGCCUUUUUGGCUGCUGUUUCUGGUUUGCGUGCGUUGUUCCGGCGAUCCGAGGAUGUCCUGAUGCCUCCGGAGGUGAGAAUGGUGAUCGUUGGUCAGUGGCGAUCCCAGUGAUCACCUCACUUUUGAUCAACAGAGUCCGGUUAGUUCUGUUCGGCGUGUUUUUCCUCGACUGCGCGCUGUUCGCUGAACCUUCGGGUUGCUCCCGCGCUUCCCACAGUGAGUCAUUGUGCCCCAGAUCAUGAGCACGGCCUCCGGUACGUCGAGACCUGUCAGUACGUGUCUCGGCGGACCUUGGAAGUCCUUAGUUUGCGUGAACGAGCCAUGUCAUCGCCCGAUUUACAUAAAAUAUAGGGAUUUUACGUAAAGUGAGGGGCAUUUGUGCAAUUGUGCAUUAUGUGGCUACUGUGGGCAGUGCAUAUGUGUGUGUGGUGACCUCUGGACUGAUUAUCCAUGAUCCAUUAGCUUUUGCAGAAAUCGAAGAGUCGAUUUCGAUGCGUUUUGCGGCGAAAUUCGCCGAAAGAACGCGGUUUCGGUUCGGAUUUCUUCCAACGUGGUUUGUUUAUCCUGUGAAUUGUCGCUGAGCCUUGUUGGCUGGUCACCAUCAUCAUUUUGUGGGUUCAGUGAUGAUUGGUGAGCGACGGUGGGUUCCGGUGUCGAAAUAGACACUUUCGGGAACCCGGAUUCGUACAAUUAUCCGGCGAUAAUUUGUGUAGUGGUGUUAUCUUGUGUUUGCUGCCAAAACAUCCAAAUUGGAGUGUUUUGGGACAGCAGGCGACUCGUGACACGAGUCGGUGAGUUUCGGGACACUUAGUGGGUCCCGACGGCGUCCCAGUGUGGUUUUCGGGACUCCCGGCGAGUUACGGUAAUUGGAAUUGGGAAACCGAUCUUCGUGAAAUUGUUUGUGGGGUUGUGGAUACUGUGGUUAUUAGUUGUGGGUUAGAUACUAACCCGGUGAACCCUCUAUAGGUCCUGUCGAUAUUCUUUUGCAGUCAGGAGACAGACGCGACAUCCUUACAGGUGGCUACUUCGAUCCGACGUUGGUACAGUGGUGCAAGCUCGGUGAUGGUUUCUUACCCUUGCUCUUUUGUUAUUAUCCAUGCAUAUAUUAUAUGUUGAGCUUUGCACCUCUAUUGUUUACAUUACACCCACGUUGUUUGGUUAUACUCUGCUCGUUGUUUACAUGCUUAGUAUCCUGAGUAGGAGUAGAGUAGUUUAUCUGUAUGUGAUACCAUGUUUUCUUGUUGCUCUACUUGCCUGUUCUACAUAUCUUAUAUCAUGUUUAUAGUAGAGCGGUUCCGUGACUAUCUGUGAGAUUAGUGACCUAGUCGGUCGAUUCUAGUAUCCCGUAUUUGUGACCUAUUCGGUGAGUUCCUUGACUUUCGUUGUCCGAUGACCGUUAAGGUCGGUAUAACCUGAGGGGUGGUAUUGUCGGUUAGUUGCCGACGGAUGAUUAUAGUUUACUCAUAUCCACUAUUUGACAUGUUUGUGACCUAGUCAGUCAGUUCGUGACUCUUGUUGUUUCUCGUCGUUUGAUGACCUUUGAGGUCGGUGUACCCUGAGGGGUAGGAUUGUCGGCUAGUGGCCGACGGUAGUCCUAGAUUAUAUACUCAGAUGACUUGUUGAUCGAUUCUUGCAUAUAUACAGUAGUUAACUUAUUGAUCAGUAUCUACAUAUUUUUGGUAGGACGUUGAGUUGUUCCAUUCCAGUUGACUUGAUUAGUCAGUACUUGCAUACAGUUGAGAGGGUGUCGAGUUGUUCCAUCCUAGUUGACCUGAGUGGUCGGUUCUUGUACUUUCUUACAGUGGAUGAUCUUUUGGUCGGUUAGCCUCGAGGGGCGGUGAUUGUCGGCUGGUUGCCGACGGUUGGCCUUUGAGCAUAUCAGCAUUGAUCGCCCGACUCGUCGCAUUUCACGAACACUGGUGGUCUGAUCCACAGCAAGGAGUGUUCUUUUUCGAAAAAGUGGUUACUUGUGCCAACCCGUGAGCCCAGCGGUCAGGACUAGGUUAUAUGCAGGUAGAGUGGUAGUGGGCUUUUGCCUGAGGUCCUUAGACCGACACGGCGGUUUAGAUUGGGUAUUUUGGACUUCUUGUCCGGUUGACACAUAUGUCUAUAGUAGCAGUCGUUGCAUGCAUACUUACAGUUCUUACUUUAUAGUUGUCUUGCUACUAUAGUAGAUAUUCAUAUAUGCUUUCUGUUCCAGUUACAGUAGCGGUAGCCGUUAUUCAGUUUAGUUCCUACUUUCUUUCAGUUUAUUGCUACUGUAUUCAGUAUAUCUGCUCAUUACCUUAUAUAUCUCUUUCGUGUAUUAUUGUUGCUACUAUAUUUCCACUGACCCGUGUUGUUGUAUAACUCUUCCUGAUCCGGUGAGUACUCCUCGCCUUCUUCGGCUUGCUGUACCUACUGGGAGGGGAGACAUGUUUACAUGUUCUCUCCUCCCCCACUAUUUUUCAGGUAUCGCGGGCGAUGAGUAGUGGGACGAGACGUGAGGUACGUGUGUAGCGGUCGAUAGAGCCUCCGACCCAGAUUAUUUCGGUUUAGUUAUUACCCUUAUUAUUUUAGUUGUUAUAGCUUAGAUAGUUUAUAUGGUUCAGUAUUUUUAUUACAUUUGAAAUUUUGGGUUUUCAUGAGUGUAAUAAUCUGGUUUGUGAAUUUUGUAAAAUAAAAGGUUUUCUACCCCUCGUAAUAGCGUUUUUAAAAAGAUAAAAGUUUAUGUGUAGGAAAAUAAUUUUCAGAAGAUUUUCUGUGGAUUUUAUAUCUUAGUAUUUCAAAACCUGUUUCUUUGGUUGAAAACAUUUUAACUGAUAGAUGUGGAUUUAUGUUUAAAUAUUGAAUGUAUAAGUAUGAAACUGUGGUGAAUGGUGUAUGAAUGUAUAACUGUUGGUUAUUUGUAUGUUCGUCUGGUUGUGGUUGUAUCAUGUUUGAACUCUUGUACUUGUGCGACGCCGUGCAAAUACAGGGGAGACUCUACUCGUGUGAACAAUAGACCUCCUGUAUUUGUGGCGGAUCUGGCAUACUCUGGGGUCAGGUUUUCAAAAAAAAAAAAUUUCAGACGGUUUUCCGCUAUGCUUUAAACUAAAAAGGGACCCCGGGGCGUGGCAGAUUAAAAUGGUAUCAGAGCCAAGUUACAACCACAACACCAUUCAUAGGUUGUUUUGAAAAGUAAAUGAAACUGAACCAUUGGUUAGGUUGAACCAUAGGAAGACCUACGGUAUAUAGGAACGUGAGUGCGGGGUUUGGGCUUGAGUCCCGGUGUGCAUGUCGAGUUUGGUAAACUCGAAUACACGAUUAUUUCCUUAUGUACUACGAUUUUUGCAAAGCUGGUGUCCUAGUCGGGACUAGUGGCGGUGCUUCUUUUUGGACAUUGAGUGGUGGGGCGGUAUUCCCCAAGUGUUGCCACUCCUGUCAGGUGGGGCCUUGAAGGGCCAGGUGAUCUUCGGGUCUAGGCGAGUGUCAUAACUGCCGACGCCCAGGCCACUCUCUCUACUUAGGACACGAGAGCUGUUGCGAGUGUCUCUACGGAGACGGCAUUGUGAUCAGUUACGAUCGUGACUUCAAUGGGGCUAUUAGGGCGUAGCCCAGGGUUUGGUUAGCGGUCGUUUAGGCGACUGCAUUGUUAGUGUUGCUUCCGCAGAUCUUUGGGUAGGGUUGCGAUGCCUACCUCUCUUCCUUGAUUACUGAUUAGAAUUAGCGGUUUGGGUCUUUUGACCUUGAACUAGUCCUUUCGCCAAAUUGACGUGUACUAGAGUCGGAUUGACACAGUUUUGGUGUCAAGUUUUCGUUGGGGCAUACAUCGUAUGCGGAUAUUCUAACACCUAAAUUGGUGUGUUGUGGGUUAGUUGUAGUUGGUGAUAGGUUUCGUCUUGAUUCGAGAGACUCCAGGUUGUUGUAGGAAUUCUCGGAACUUUGACUAAAGCUCGGUUGUGGUGUGAAAAUCGGUUAGAGAAACCAUUUCUUAAAGCCUCAGUCCGUGUGGUUCGCAGCUUAGUGUUGCUAGUAGCCUUCGGAUGUUGAAAGUUAUAGGACUCCCUGUGAGUCGGUUCAGGGUCGUUCUAAUUUCGAAUGUCGACUUGUAAAGUUGAUGUUUCGAUAGUAUUGGUUGUGAGCUUCUGGUUCAGUUAAGAGGUAUCAAGGGGCUUGAUACUUCGACGUGUCACACUUCCAACUCGUUGUUGAUAAUGGAUCUUCGGAUAUUUUGCUUUUCUUUUGAUAAGUAUAUUGGCUGCAGACAAUAUACUGUUGAAAGAGUGACGAAAUACUAUCUUCCCGUUUGGGACUUAUGGAUUGGGUCGAUGUGUUCUCUAGAGUGUCUUGUGGGAAAGCUUGAGUGUCGAUCUUUUCUGACCACGUAGCGAGCCUUGGGUUAUUCCUUAGUAGGUUUGGCACAGUUGACUUAUCGUCACUGAUAAAGGGGUUUUGACUCUAGUUCGAGUCUGGGUGUUCGUAGCUCUUAGUUGUGCUUCCCACAGUUAAAAGGUUUGCUUGGUUAGUAGUCUCGGUCUAUUUGCCGGGAGGUUCGAAAUCAGUGAUUGAGUGACUUGAGCCUGGUGGUUGGCCUUGAUUGUCACCAUAUAUGAUAGCGUAUAAGGUUGUGACUCGGCUUAGCGUGCAAAUCUUGGAAGGCUAUACUUGUCCGAUUAUUUGGUGACAGGUACGCCUGGGUCUCAAUGAGAUAGGCAUUUGGUGUUGCUCGGAACAUCGAUCGCUAGGGUCCAUGAUAGGACGGCAGCGACAGGGUCUUGUUGAGACAGGUGUUGAGCAUCACCAACGGUUAGUAUCGCUUUUGUGAUUGGCGACCUAUGCAUCAAGUGAUGGACUUGCAAAGAGCUUUCAGUGGUCUGUUGGUACCGUAUUAAGUUUGAGGAGACAUUGUCUAGCCCAAUUGGUAUCGUCAGUUGGACCUUUUGGUCAGAUGUAAAGUAACGUCUUGGACCUAGGACUAUAGAUUGUCGCAGAUGGCUUUAGGUUGAUGAGGUUUUGACAGUUUGUGUGGUUACUAGUGGAGACUGUGGUCUCCGGUGUGAGUGAUUUUGACUCGAAUUUUAGAACAACGUUUCUUAUUCGCUCGUGGUGAGCAAGUUGACGUUGUUGGCUAGUCAGAGUGUGUCUUUUCGGCCUAUAAAAAUACACUCCAGACUUGUGGUGUUGACUCGUGUCUCUUCUACGUGAACCUUCGACGUAAUCGAGUCGGUUACUGGUAUGCGGAUCAAGGUUGAGUGUAUUUAGAAUUUCUAAGUGGAGAAUUUUUAUCUCAGAGUUGGUAAUUGGGGAUCUGAUAAUCCUAGUCGCGGGAUUGUCUUUGUCCGCAGGUUAUAGGAUAAUGUUGAUCCCGGUGAGUUUUGGUCUGUAGAUUUUGGGUUGUUACGUUUUCCCUCGAUUUGUCCUGGAGGAAUCGUAGUCCUUGGUGUCUCCCCUUCUUCGGAGGUUGAGCUGUCCAAAUGAAUGGUGACUGAUCAGUACUCAAAGGUGAUAUCACAGAGGUGGAAGUAAUAUCCGAAUUUGAUUUUGGUGGGUAUGUGGUCAAGUUUCGGGGACGAAACUUCUUUUAAGGGAGGGAUAAUAUAAGGACUGAGAUUUUGACAGUGCAACUAAACUCUCUGUUGACGAUGUUUAUGUGUGUAAUUUAAUUACAUAAGCACUCGUCAAGUUUCAGGAGAAAAUGAGCUAAAAUGGAGAAGAUACGCAAUUUUUAGUUUUCACUUAAGUGAAUAGUAAUUCUGGUUUUCCGAAGAAGCCGCGGAGUAGAGUUGGCUUCUGGCACGUAUUGGACUCCGAACAUAGCAGUCCAAUAGCCCGUUUCGACCGGUUCAGCUAUUCUGGAACUAAUGACGCUGACGGAUUUUGAGUUUGACUCACGGAUUUUAAAUCAUUGAAUUUAAAAUUUAAAUAGUAAUAUGAAAUUCCUCUAGAGAAAACUAAUUGUAGAAAUCUUACUCUUUAAGUUUUUUAUGCAUUACGUUUUAAACUUGUGCGAAUAAACUGUCUUUUAAAUCUUGGUAGAAAUUUAGUUUUUAAAUAGUAAUAUGAAAUUCCUCUAAUUUAAAUUUCACUUUUAAAUUUUAAGUAUUUAAUUUUUAAAAUUUAAAUUCAUCGUAUUUAGAAAUAAAACUAUUUCUAAAAUUUCUAUAAUUUAAAUUAAUGCAUAAUUUGAGAAACACUAAAACAUUUAAAGUAGAUUCCUAAAUUAAUGCCUAAUAAUUGCAUAAAUUUGGUUAAUCAAUUAAUUUUCUAAAUUAGUGCUAAUUAAUGCAUAAAUUUAGGACCUCAAUUAAAAGUUUCUUUAAAUAUUAUAUUAUUUAAUUACCAAACUAACCUUGAAUAAAAUAAUCCUUUUACCUGCUAAGUAUUAAAGUUAUAUUUUUACUCUCUAUUAAUCAACGGUUAAAUUUUUUUUUUUUUUAUUUUUUUAAAGUACCGAAUCAUUUCUCCCAAAAUAAUUA